AUUGAACGCUGGCGGAAUGCUUUACACAUGCAAGUCGAACGGCAGCACGGGGCAACCUGGUGGCGAGUGGCGAACGGGUGAGUAAUACAUCGGAACGUGCCCAAUCGUGGGGGAUAACGUAGCGAAAGUUACGCUAAUACCGCAUACGAUCUACGGAUGAAAGCGGGGGAUCGCAAGACCUCGCGCGAAUGGAGCGGCCGAUGUCAGAUUAGGUAGUUGGUGGGGUAAAGGCUCACCAAGCCGACGAUCUGUAGCUGGUCUGAGAGGACGACCAGCCACACUGGGACUGAGACACGGCCCAGACUCCUACGGGAGGCAGCAGUGGGGAAUUUUGGACAAUGGGCGCAAGCCUGAUCCAGCCAUUCCGCGUGCAGGAUGAAGGCC
This 384-nucleotide ribosomal RNA is filed under the name uncultured bacterium. Its description in RNAcentral is "bacterial SSU rRNA". It matches the Rfam family "Bacterial small subunit ribosomal RNA", at positions 29 to 416 of the family's 1533-position model. The record is from RNAcentral.